AGAGUUUGAUCCUGGCUCAGGAUGAACGCUGGCGGCGUGCCUAAUACAUGCAAGUCGAACGAGGUGCUUUUUGUAGCAAUACGAGAGGUAUCCUAGUGGCGAACGGGUGAGUAACGCGUUGGUGACCUGCCCCAAAGUGUGGGAUAACAGUCCGAAAGGAUUGCUAAUACCGCAUGUGGUCCCCGGAUUUAGAAACCGGUGACUAAAGCAGCAAUGCGCUUUGGGAGGGACCUGCGUCCCAUCAGCUAGUUGGUGAGGUAACGGCCCACCAAGGCUACGACGGGUAGGGGACUUGUGAGGGUGGCCCCCCACAAUGGAACUGAAACACGGUCCAUACACCUACGGGUGGCAGCAGUAGGGAAUAUUGCCCGUUAACGAAAGCCUGAUGCAGCAACGCCGCGUGCGUAGAAUUAUGUUCGGAUCGUAAAGCGCUUUUCUGGGAGAUGAGAAAGGACAGUUCCCAGAAUA
This 468-nucleotide ribosomal RNA is filed under the name uncultured bacterium. Its description in RNAcentral is "bacterial SSU rRNA". It matches the Rfam family "Bacterial small subunit ribosomal RNA", at positions 8 to 487 of the family's 1533-position model. The record is from RNAcentral.